AUUGAACGCUGGCGGCAUGCCUUACACAUGCAAGUCGAACGGCAGCGCGGGGGCAACCCUGGCGGCGAGUGGCGAACGGGUGAGUAAUAUAUCGGAACGUGCCCUAGAGUGGGGGAUAACGUAGCGAAAGUUACGCUAAUACCGCAUACGAUCUACGGAAGAAAGCGGGGGAUCGCAAGACCUCGCGCUCCUGGAGCGGCCGAUAUCUGAUUAGCUAGUUGGUAGGGUAAAAGCCUACCAAGGCGACGAUCAGUAGCUGGUCUGAGAGGA
This 270-nucleotide ribosomal RNA is filed under the name uncultured bacterium. RNAcentral describes it as "partial 16S ribosomal RNA". It matches the Rfam family "Bacterial small subunit ribosomal RNA", at positions 30 to 300 of the family's 1533-position model. The record is from RNAcentral.